CUACAGAGGGUGCGAGCGUUAAUCGGAGUUACUGGGCGUAAAGCGCGCGUAGGCGGUCUAUUAAGUCAGAUGUGAAAUCCCAGGGCUCAACCUUGGAACUGCAUCUGAUACUGGUAGACUAGAGUUUUGGAGAGGGAAGUAGAAUUUCAGGUGUAGCGGUGAAAUGCAUAGAGAUCUGAAGGAAUACCAGUGGCGAAGGCGACUUCCUGGCCAAAAACUGACGCUGAGGUGCGAAAGCGUGGGUAGCAAACGGGAUUAGAAACCCCGGUAGUCC
This 274-nucleotide ribosomal RNA is filed under the name uncultured bacterium. RNAcentral's name for it is "partial 16S ribosomal RNA". It matches the Rfam family "Bacterial small subunit ribosomal RNA", at positions 523 to 796 of the family's 1533-position model. The record is from RNAcentral.